This 412-nucleotide long non-coding RNA is filed under the name Manacus vitellinus (golden-collared manakin). RNAcentral's name for it is "lncRNA (ENSMVIG00005002013.1)". Lineage: Eukaryota; Metazoa; Chordata; Aves; Passeriformes; Pipridae. The record is from RNAcentral.
GGAAAACUCCAGUCCAGAAACUCCAAGAGGGAAAAGUUUUAAUUUUUUAAAAGUUUCCAUUUUUUUGUUCCAGAUUUUAGAGAAUUUAUUAAUUAGAGUCUGUGAAGACAAGAUUAGAAAAAAAACCCAAAAUUAAACAUCAUCAUGUUACAGAUCAACUCCGAUGUUGUCAGUGCAGAAGAGCCAGCAGUGGAGGUGGUUUUCUGUAACACCAGUAUCCCCCACAGCCGGAGUCUGGACAAAAACAUUUCUGUCAUUCUGGAAUGCAUAUGGAGAGAGAGCAAAGAGAUAUAUGUGCUACUAGGCUUUUUUUUCUUCACAGUAACCUGAAUUCAUGACAUUUAUUCUAAGCACAGCUGUUACUGUCUUUCAGCUGUAAAAAAAAAUAAAGAGGAAAAAAAUUCUUUUGGCA